CCCUUAGAUGUUCUGGGCGGCCCGCGCACUACAAUGGCGUGUGCAGCGAGUGCCGAAGUAGAGUUUUCCGAGGUAUUCUUGCAAUGCUCGUUUUGAUGGGGAUAGACCCUUGCAACUGUUGGUUUUGAACGAGGAAUUCCUUGUAAGCAUGGUUUAUCAUCCGACGCUGAAUGCGUCCCUGCCCUUUGUACACACCGCCCGUCGCUCCUACCGAUGAGUCGUCCGGUGAAGUUCGUAGACCUCGUGAUCGCGGAUCACUGGGGGACGCAAAAUGAACCUCGCGGUUUAGAGGAAGGAGAAGUCGUAACA
This 309-nucleotide ribosomal RNA is filed under the name uncultured eukaryote. RNAcentral describes it as "partial 18S ribosomal RNA". It matches the Rfam family "Eukaryotic small subunit ribosomal RNA", at positions 1470 to 1796 of the family's 1831-position model. The record is from RNAcentral.